GCGAAAGUGGCGGAAUUGGCAGACGCGCUAGAUUCAGGUUCUAGUGGGAAAUCUCCCAUGGGGGUUCGACUCCCCCCUUUCGCACCA
RNAcentral lists this transfer RNA (87 nucleotides) under Clostridiales bacterium. RNAcentral's name for it is "tRNA-Leu". It matches the Rfam family "tRNA". From Rfam's summary of the family: Transfer RNA (tRNA) molecules are approximately 80 nucleotides in length. Lineage: Bacteria; Bacillati; Bacillota; Clostridia; Eubacteriales. The record is from RNAcentral.